This is an RNA transcript of Pogoniulus pusillus (Red-fronted tinkerbird), 1753 nucleotides long. It is a transcript of the gene named prolyl 4-hydroxylase, transmembrane, with no coding region annotated. The record is from RefSeq and is a predicted model, not a curated record. The transcript is spliced from 10 exons. Lineage: Eukaryota; Metazoa; Chordata; Aves; Piciformes; Lybiidae.
AUGGCGGCGGCAGCUGCGGCGGCGUCUGCGGCGUCGCGGGCGGAGGGUCCCCCGCUGCCCGGCCCGCCGGGAGGCCGCCCGCGCCCCGUCUGCUCGCGGCCCUACUUCCUCGUCCUCAUGGUUUUCGCUCACCUCUACGUCCUCAACGUGCUGGGGCUUCUGCUCUUCGUGCACCUGAGCGCCGGUGAGGCCGGCGGGCCACCUGCCGCCACCCCCCCGGCGCCGCCACCGCCGCCGCCCGCCCGCGCCCUCCCGCGCCUCGAGGGCAUCAAGGUGGGCCACACGCAGCGAGUGGAGCUGAUGCCUGGCAGGGCCCACGUCGUGCGCACCCUCAGCCUCAAGCCUCUUCUCUUCGAAAUUCCCGACUUUCUGACAGAGGAGGAGUGCAAGCUCAUCGUCCAUCUGGCACAGCUGAAGGGGCUGCAGAAGAGCCAGAUUCUACCAACAGAUGACUAUGAGGAAGCCAUGGAAAUGAUAGAAAUCAGCCAGAUGGACAUUUUCAAUCUGCUGGACCACAAUCAGGAUGGGCAGCUGCAGCUCAAAGAGGUGUUGACCCACACCCGUCUUGGGAACGGCAGGUGGAUGACCCCCGAAAAUAUCCGGGAGAUGUACACUGCAGUCAAGGCUGAUCCUGAUGGGAAUGGUGUGUUGAGUUUGGAGGAGUUCAAACAGUUGAACAUCCGUGAUUUCCACAAGUACAUGGGAAGCCAGAAAGUGAAGAUGAGCGACUUGGUGCGCAACAGCCAGCACACCUGGCUGUACCAGGGCGAGGGUGCCCAUCAGGUCAUGAGAGCCAUACGGCAAAGGGUAAUGCGUCUGACUCGCUUGCCCCCUGAGAUUGUGGAGCACAGCGAGCCCCUCCAGGUUGUGCGGUAUGACCAAGGAGGGCACUACCACGCCCACAUGGACAGUGGCCCUGUCUUCCCCGAGACUGCCUGCAGCCACACGAAGCUGGUCGCCAAUGAAAGUGCUCCCUUUGAGACCUCCUGCCGGUAUGUGACAGUGCUGUUCUACCUGAACAAUGUGACUGGGGGAGGUGAAACGGUCUUUCCUAUAGCUGACAACAGGACAUAUGAAGAGAUGUCUUUGAUCCAGAACGACAUUGACCUGCGAGACACUCGGAAAAACUGCGACAAGGGCAAUUUGCGAGUGAAACCUCAGCAAGGCACAGCUGUCUUCUGGUACAACUACCUGUCAGACGGAGAAGGCUGGGUGGGGGAGCUGGACGACUUUGCCCUGCACGGGGGCUGCCUGGUUACCCAAGGCACCAAGUGGAUUGCCAACAACUGGAUCAACGUGGACCCCAACCGCCGGCGGCAGCUGCAGUUUCAGCAGGAGAUGGAGCGCGUCGCGGGGGCCGAGGCCGGCGGCGAGUGGUCGGUGGACAAAGCCUACAGCAGGGCGCACCUGGAGCUGUAGGGCCGGGGGCGGCGGCGCGCACGUGGCCUCUUCCCGCGCCGGGCGGGGCGCGUCGCGUCGCGCGCGAAUAAAGCGUGAGAGACGGGAGCGUGUCCGCGUGCUGAGGGGCGGGGCCGGCGGCGCAACAUGGAGGCGGCGGCGCUGGUGGCGCCGGUAACGGCGCUGGAGUUCGCCGGGGACGUGCUGCUGGCGGGCACAGGCCCGGAGGUGGUGGCGUUCCGGCUGAGCGGCGGCGGGCCGGCGGCGGCGGCAGGCCGGCGGAGUGUGCUGUGUGAGGCCAGCGUGCAGGGGCUGCGAGCCGAGCCCGGCGGCGGGGCGGCAGUGCGAGUGGCGG